Molecule: ribosomal RNA, 254 nt
Filed under: uncultured bacterium
Lineage: Bacteria
Description: partial 16S ribosomal RNA
Rfam family: Bacterial small subunit ribosomal RNA
Source: RNAcentral
UACGUAGGGGGCAAGCGUUGUCCGGAUUUAUUGGGCGUAAAGAGCGUGUAGGCGGCCAAACAGGUCAGCUGUGAAAACUCGAGGCUCAACCUCGAGACGUCGGUUGAAACCGUUUGGCUAGAGUCCGGAAGAGGAGAGUGGAAUUCCCGGUGUAGCGGUGAAAUGCGCAGAUAUCGGGAAGAACACCCGUGGCGAAGGCGGCUCUCGUGGGACGGUACUGACGCUGAGACGCGAAAGCGUGGGGAGCGAACAGG